AACGAACGCUGGCGGCAGGCUUAACACAUGCAAGUCGAACGCCCCGCAAGGGGAGUGGCAGACGGGUGAGUAACACGUGGGAACCUUCCUCGUUGUACGGAACAACUCAGGGAAACUUGAGCUAAUACCGUAUACGUCCGAGAGGAGAAAGAUUUAUCGCAAUGAGACGGGCCCGCGUCGGAUUAGCUAGUUGGUGGGGUAACGGCCUACCAAGGCGACGAUCCGUAGCUGGUUUGAGAGAACGACCAGCCACACUGGGACUGAGACACGGCCCAGACUCCUACGGGAGGCAGCAGUGGGGAAUCUUGGACAAUGGGCGCAAGCCUGAUCCAGCCAUGCCGCGUGAGUGAAGAAGGCCUUCGGGUUGUAAAGCUCUUUUGUCAGGGACGAUAAUGACGGUACCUGAAGAAUAAGCCCCGGCAAACUUCGUGCCAGCAGCCGCAGUAA
Molecule: ribosomal RNA, 447 nt
Filed under: uncultured bacterium
Lineage: Bacteria
Description: partial 16S ribosomal RNA
Rfam family: Bacterial small subunit ribosomal RNA
Source: RNAcentral